AGCGAACGCUGGCGGCAGGCCUAACACAUGCAAGUCGAGCGGCCGUAGCAAUACGGCAGCGGCAGACGGGAGAGUAACACGUGGGAACGUGCCCAUCAGUUCGGAACAACCCAGGGAAACUUGGGCUAAUACCGGAUACGCCCUUACGGGGAAAGAUUUAUCGCUGAUGGAGCGGCCCGCGUCUGAUUAGCUAGUUGGUGAGGUAACGGCUCACCAAGGCGACGAUCAGUAGCUGGUCUGAGAGGAUGAUCAGCCUCACUGGGACUGAGACACGGCCCAGACUCCUACGGGAGGCAGCAGUGGGGAAUAUUGGACAAUGGGCGCAAGCCUGAUCCAGCCAUGCCGCGUGGAUGAUGAAGGCCCUAGGGUUGUAAAGUCCUUUCGGCGGGGAAGAUAAUGACGGUACCCGCAGAAGAAGCCCCGGCUAACUUCGUGC
This 436-nucleotide ribosomal RNA is filed under the name uncultured bacterium. RNAcentral's name for it is "bacterial SSU rRNA". It matches the Rfam family "Bacterial small subunit ribosomal RNA", at positions 29 to 508 of the family's 1533-position model. The record is from RNAcentral.